UCGGGUUGUAAAGCACUUUUGUCCGGAAAGAAAACUUCGGGGCUAAUACCUCUGGAGGAUGACGGUACCGGAAGAAUAAGCACCGGCUAACUACGUGCCAGCAGCGCGGUAAUCGUAGGGUGCGAGCGUUAAUCGGAAUUACUGGGCGUAAAGCGUGCGCAGGCGGUCUGUUAAGACAGAUGUGAAAUCCCCGGGCUUAACCUGGGAACUGCAUUUGUGUCUGGCAGGCUAGAGUAUGGCAGAGGGGGGUAGAAUUCCACGUGUAGCAGUGAAAUGCGUAGAGAUGUGGAGGAAUACCGAUGGCGAAGGCAGCCCCCUGGGCCAAUACUGACGCUCAUGCACGAAAGCGUGGGGAGCAAACAGGAUUAGAUACCCUGGUAGUCCACGCCCUAAACGAUGUCAACUAGUUGUUGGGGAUUCAUUUCCUUAGUAACGUAGCUAACGCGUGAAGUUGACCGCCUGGGGAGUACGGUCGCAAGAUUAAAACUCAAAGGAAUUGACGGGGACCCGCACAAGCGGCGGAUGAUGUGGAUUAAUUCGAUGCAACGCGAAAAACCUUACCUACCCUUGACAUGGUCGGAACCCUGGUG
This 590-nucleotide ribosomal RNA is filed under the name uncultured Burkholderia sp. RNAcentral describes it as "bacterial SSU rRNA". It matches the Rfam family "Bacterial small subunit ribosomal RNA", at positions 418 to 1003 of the family's 1533-position model. The record is from RNAcentral. Lineage: Bacteria; Pseudomonadati; Pseudomonadota; Betaproteobacteria; Burkholderiales; Burkholderiaceae.